GGCCUAAACAUGCAAGUCGAGCGGUUGAGGGGAGCUUGCUCCCUGAUUCAGCGGCGGACGGGUGAGUAAUGCCUAGGAAUCUGCCUAUUAGUGGGGGACAACGUUUCGAAAGGAACGCUAAUACCGCAUACGUCCUACGGGAGAAAGCAGGGGACCUUCGGGCCUUGCGCUAAUAGAUGAGCCUAGGUCGGAUUAGCUAGUUGGUGGGGUAAAGGCUCACCAAGGCGACGAUCCGUAACUGGUCUGAGAGGAUGAUCAGUCACACUGGAACUGAGACACGGUCCAGACUCCUACGGGAGGCAGCAGUGGGGAAUAUUGGACAAUGGGCGAAAGCCUGAUCCAGCCAUGCCGCGUGUGUGAAGAAGGUCUUCGGAUUGUAAAGCACUUUAAGUUGGGAGGAAGGGUUGUAGAUUAAUACUCUGCAAUUUUGACGUUACCGACAGAAUAAGCACCGGCUAACUCUGUGCCAGCAGCCGCGGUAAUACAGAGGGUGCAAGCGUUAAUCGGAAUUACUGGGCGUAAAGCGCGCGUAGGUGGUUUGUUAAGUUGGAUGUGAAAGCCCCGGGCUCAACCUGGGAACUGCAUCCAAAACUGGCAAGCUAGAGUACGGUAGAGGGUGGUGGAAUUUCCUGUGUAGCGGUGAAAUGCGUAGAUAUAGGAAGGAACACCAGUGGCGAAGGCGACCACCUGGACUGAUACUGACACUGAGGUGCGAAAGCGUGGGGAGCAAACAGGAUUAGAUACCUGG
RNAcentral lists this ribosomal RNA (748 nucleotides) under Phytopseudomonas flavescens. Its description in RNAcentral is "bacterial SSU rRNA". It matches the Rfam family "Bacterial small subunit ribosomal RNA", at positions 45 to 790 of the family's 1533-position model. The record is from RNAcentral. Lineage: Bacteria; Pseudomonadati; Pseudomonadota; Gammaproteobacteria; Pseudomonadales; Pseudomonadaceae.